GGAUUCUUCUUCCCCUCGACCUACCUCCAUGUGGCUUAGGUCUCUUUUUCCUGCAUAUUUUCAGGCUCACACAAGCAGAUCGGCAAAGUCCCUCAAGAAUAUUUUGUCGAGAGAGAAAAUAAGGUGCUUAUUCUACAAUCCCUGCUUGAGCAUUGACAUUCUCACCAACUUGUGCAAAUUGCGUAUCUCAAGCAUUUGCGGCAUUGAAGUGCAUACGUAGUCACGCAGUGACUCAUCCUCUUUCUACU
Molecule: long non-coding RNA, 248 nt
Filed under: Elaeis guineensis (African oil palm)
Lineage: Eukaryota; Viridiplantae; Streptophyta; Magnoliopsida; Arecales; Arecaceae
Description: long non-coding RNA (EGUI_LNC071568)
Source: RNAcentral